UACGUAGGGUGCAAGCGUUAAUCGGAAUUACUGGGCGUAAAGCGUGCGCAGGCGGUUUUGUAAGUCUGUCGUGAAAUCCCCCGGGCUCAACCUGGGAAUUGCGAUGGAGACUGCAAGGCUAGAAUCUGGCAGAGGGGGGGUAGAAUUCCACGUGUAGCAGUGAAAUGCGUAGAGAUGGUGGAGGAACACCGAUGGCGAAGGCAACUCCCCUGGGCCU
RNAcentral lists this ribosomal RNA (217 nucleotides) under uncultured bacterium. RNAcentral describes it as "partial 16S ribosomal RNA". It matches the Rfam family "Bacterial small subunit ribosomal RNA", at positions 524 to 736 of the family's 1533-position model. The record is from RNAcentral.